AUGCUUAUGACUGAAUUGGAAUAUGAUGGUCAGGAAAGCCAACUACUAAGAAUUCAUCUGCAGUCGGAAAAGGCCUCUGCCACACAGCAGUCAGUCACCUACAAUGAAUACAUUCCCAGGCCUCGGGCUUCAAGCAUGAGUAUUUUGGAAACCUCUCCAGCGACUUGGAUAUACUCCUCACUGCACACCUCAUGGCUAGAAGGGACCAUCUGGGAGAGGAAGUUGUUUGUUUCUUAUUAUUUUCCCAACUCUUUCCUGCAAGAAAGGACCCAGCUCAUUUCCAUCCAAACGUGGGCAAACCGAGGUCGCCAAUACAGUUUGAGAAAUACAAGAAAUCUGCUCAUUCAUGCAAGCCUCUUCACUUUUGGCUACGUCCAGGCUCCUUCCUGA
This 390-nucleotide long non-coding RNA is filed under the name Felis catus (domestic cat). RNAcentral's name for it is "lncRNA (ENSFCAG00000047667.1)". Lineage: Eukaryota; Metazoa; Chordata; Mammalia; Carnivora; Felidae. The record is from RNAcentral.